This 537-nucleotide ribosomal RNA is filed under the name Pleosporales sp. R3-2-1. RNAcentral describes it as "eukaryotic LSU rRNA". The stretch from base 162 to 315 matches the Rfam family "5.8S ribosomal RNA". The record is from RNAcentral. Lineage: Eukaryota; Fungi; Ascomycota; Dothideomycetes; Pleosporales.
AUGCACGCCCUAAGCUGUAGCAAUACAGCCUGUGGGCUUAUGUCUUAUUAUCCUUGUUUUUUGAGUACCUAUGUUUCCUUGGUGGGUGUGCCUGCCAAAAGGACAACCAUUUAAACCUUUUUUAAUUUUUAAUCAGCGUCUGAAUCAACAUAAUUAUUUACAACUUUCAACAACGGAUCUCUUGGUUCUGGCAUCGAUGAAGAACGCAGCGAAAUGCGAUAAGUAGUGUGAAUUGCAGAAUUCAGUGAAUCAUCGAAUCUUUGAACGCACAUUGCGCCCCUUGGUAUUCCAUGGGGCAUGCCUGUUCGAGCGUCAUUUGUACCCUCAAGCUCUGCUUGGUGUUGGGUGUUUGUCCUCUCCUUGCGGUUGGACUCGCCUUAAAGCAAUUGGCAGCCAGUGUAUUGGUUUUAAGCGCAGCACAUUUUGCGUCUUGCUCCCACUAACACUAGCAUCCAUCAAGCCAUUUUUACCACUUUUGACCUCGGAUCAGGUAGGGAUACCCGCUGAACUUAAGCAUAUCAAUAAGCGGAGGAAGGA